This 354-nucleotide ribosomal RNA is filed under the name Triticum aestivum (bread wheat). RNAcentral describes it as "partial small subunit ribosomal RNA". The record is from RNAcentral. Lineage: Eukaryota; Viridiplantae; Streptophyta; Magnoliopsida; Poales; Poaceae.
AUGGUUCUGAUUGACGCAUCUACACGAUGGUCACAUGUGUGCCUUCUAUCCACACGAAACCGUGCAUUUGCCAAGAUAAUGAGGCAAGUCAUUAAGUUGCAAGCCCAUUAUCCUGAAAGUCGAAUUAAGUCAAUUCAAAUGGACAAUGCUGCAGAAUUCUCCUCACGUGCUUUCAAUGAUUAUUGCAUGGCUUUGGGGAUUGAAGUUCGGCACUCUGUUCCAUAUGUCCAUACACAAAAUGGUUUGGCUGAAGCAUUGAUUAAGAGGAUCAAACUCAUUGCAAGACCUUUGUUGAUGAAUUGCAAUUUUCCAACCACUUGUGGGGCCAUGCUAUUUUACACGCUGCUGACUUGA